GCCACUGCUAUUGGGGUUCGGCUAAGCCAUGCGAGUGGAGGGCGUCCCGCAAGGGAUGGCCCCGCAGACGGCUCAGUAACACGUCGUCAACCCACCUUAGGGUUGGGGACAACCUCGGGAAACUGAGGAUAAUCCCCCAUAGGCGGGGGAGGCUGGAAUGCGCCCCCGCUGAAAGCUCAGGCGCCCUAGGACGGGACGGCGGCCUAUCAGGUAGUUGGUGGUGUGACG
This 228-nucleotide ribosomal RNA is filed under the name uncultured archaeon. RNAcentral describes it as "partial 16S ribosomal RNA". It matches the Rfam family "Archaeal small subunit ribosomal RNA", at positions 23 to 246 of the family's 1478-position model. The record is from RNAcentral.